Molecule: ribosomal RNA, 438 nt
Filed under: uncultured bacterium
Lineage: Bacteria
Description: bacterial SSU rRNA
Rfam family: Bacterial small subunit ribosomal RNA
Source: RNAcentral
AGUCGAGGGGCAGCGGGAUUGAAGCUUGCUUCAAUUGCCGGCGACCGGCGCACGGGUGAGUAACGCGUAUCCAACCUUCCGUACACUCAGGGAUAGCCUUUCGAAAGAAAGAUUAAUACCUGAUGGUAUGAUGAGAUUGCAUGAUAGCAUCAUUAAAGAUUUAUCGGUGUACGAUGGGGAUGCGUUCCAUUAGGUAGUAGGCGGGGUAACGGCCCACCUAGCCAACGAUGGAUAGGGGUUCUGAGAGGAAGGUCCCCCACAUUGGAACUGAGACACGGUCCAAACUCCUACGGGAGGCAGCAGUGAGGAAUAUUGGUCAAUGGACGAGAGUCUGAACCAGCCAAGUAGCGUGAAGGAUGAAGGUCUUACGGAUUGUAAACUUCUUUUAUAAGGGAAUAAAACCUCCCACGUGUGGGAGCUUGUAUGUACCUUAUGAAU